UACCUAAACGUUGCUUCGGCGGGAACAGACGGCCCCGUGAAACGGGCCGCCCCCGCCAGAGGACCCCCUAACUCUGUUGCUAUAUGUAUCUUCUGAGUAAACAAGCAAAUAAAUUAAAACUUUCAACAACGGAUCUCUUGGCUCUGGCAUCGAUGAAGAACGCAGCGAAAUGCGAUAAGUAAUGUGAAUUGCAGAAUUCAGUGAAUCAUCGAAUCUUUGAACGCACAUUGCGCCCGCCAGUAUUCUGGCGGGCAUGCCUGUUCGAGCGUCAUUACAACCCUCAGGCCCCCGGGCCUGGCGUUGGGGAUCGGCGAGGCGCCCCCCUGCGGGCACGCGCCGUCCCCCAAAUACAGUGGCGGUCCCGCCGCAGCUUCCAUUGCGUAGUAGCUAACACCUCGCAACUGGAGAGCGGCGCGGCCAUGCCGUAAAACACCCAACUUCUGAAUGUUGACCUCGAAUCAGGUAGGAAUACCCGCUGAACUUAAGCAUAUCAUA
Molecule: ribosomal RNA, 495 nt
Filed under: Fusarium solani
Lineage: Eukaryota; Fungi; Ascomycota; Sordariomycetes; Hypocreales; Nectriaceae
Description: eukaryotic LSU rRNA
Rfam family: 5.8S ribosomal RNA (bases 118-271)
Source: RNAcentral